GGCCUAGUGGCUCAGUUGGUUAGAGCGCCGCCCUGUCACGGCGGAGCUCACGGGUUCGAGUCCCGUCUGGGUCG
RNAcentral lists this transfer RNA (74 nucleotides) under Agathobacter rectalis. RNAcentral describes it as "[Eubacterium] rectale tRNA-Asp". It matches the Rfam family "tRNA". From Rfam's summary of the family: Transfer RNA (tRNA) molecules are approximately 80 nucleotides in length. The record is from RNAcentral. Lineage: Bacteria; Bacillati; Bacillota; Clostridia; Lachnospirales; Lachnospiraceae.